RNAcentral lists this ribosomal RNA (252 nucleotides) under uncultured prokaryote. RNAcentral describes it as "partial 16S ribosomal RNA". It matches the Rfam family "Bacterial small subunit ribosomal RNA", at positions 524 to 776 of the family's 1533-position model. The record is from RNAcentral.
UACAUAGGGGGCAAGCGUUAUCCGGAAUUAUUGGGCGUAAAGGGUGCGUAGGCGGUUAUUUAAGUCUUUGGUGUAAGUGCAGAGCUCAACUCUGUGAUGCUAAGGAAACUGGAUGACUUGAGUGUGGUAGAGGUAAGUAGAAUUCCAUGUGUAGCGGUAAAAUGCGUAAAUAUAUGGAGGAAUACCAGUGGCGAAGGCGGCUUACUGGGCCACAACUGACGCUGAGGCACGAAAGCGUGGGGAGCAAACAGG